This 483-nucleotide ribosomal RNA is filed under the name uncultured bacterium. Its description in RNAcentral is "partial 16S ribosomal RNA". It matches the Rfam family "Bacterial small subunit ribosomal RNA", at positions 28 to 507 of the family's 1533-position model. The record is from RNAcentral.
GACGAACGCUGGCGGCGUGCUUAACACAUGCAAGUCGAACGCUGAAGCUCAGCUUUUGUUGGGUGGAUGAGUGGCGAACGGGUGAGUAACACGUGAGUAACCUGCCUCCUUCUUUGGGGUAACGCCCGGAAACGGGUGCUAAUACUGGAUAUUCACUGGUCUUCGCAUGGGGGUUGGUGGAAAGGGUUUUUCUGGUGGGGGAUGGGCUCGCGGCCUAUCAGCUUGUUGGUGGGGUGAUGGCCUACCAAGGCUUUGACGGGUAGCCGGCCUGAGAGGGUGACCGGUAACAUUGGGACUGAGAUACGGCCCAGACUCCUACGGGAGGCAGCAGUGGGGAAUAUUGCACAAUGGGCGCAAGCCUGAUGCAGCGACGCCGCGUGAGGGAUGGAGGCCUUCGGGUUGUGAACCUCUUUCGCUCAUGGUCAAGCCGCAACAAUGGUUGUGGUGAGGGUAGUGGGUAAAGAAGCGCCGGCUAACUACGUG